RNAcentral lists this ribosomal RNA (880 nucleotides) under uncultured bacterium. RNAcentral describes it as "bacterial SSU rRNA". It matches the Rfam family "Bacterial small subunit ribosomal RNA", at positions 28 to 916 of the family's 1533-position model. The record is from RNAcentral.
GAUAAACGCUGGCGGCGUGCCUAAUACAUGCAAGUCGAACGAGGAGUCCUUGUAGCAAUACGGGGAUUUCCUAGUGGCGAAUGGGUGAGUAACGCGUUGGUGACCUACCCCGAAGAGAGGAAUAACUCCGGGAAACUGGAGCUAAUACCCCAUGUGGUUAUCAGGGUUAGAGGCCUGACAACUGAAGGAGCAAUCCACUUUGGGAGGGACCUGCGUCCCAUCAGCUUGUUGGUAGGGUAACGGCCUACCAAGGCUACGACGGGUAGGGGGCCUGAGAGGGUGGCCCCCCACACUGGCACUGAAACACGGGCCAGACACCUACGGGUGGCAGCAGUAGGGAAUAUUGCACAAUGGGCGAAAGCCUGAUGCAGCAACGCCGCGUGAACGAUGAAGACCUUCGGGUUGUAAAGUUCUUUUCUGAAGGACGAGGAAGGACGGUACUUCAGGAAUAAGGAUCGGCUAACUACGUGCCAGCAGCCGCGGUAGUACGUAGGAUCCGAGCGUUAUCCGAAUUUACUGGGCGUAAAGCGCGUGCAGGCGGUUUGGUAAGUUGGAUGUGAAAGCUCCCGGUUCAACUGGGAGAGGCCGUUCAAAACUACCAGACUCGAGGACGGUAGAGGGAGGUAGAAUUCCCGGUGUAGUAGUGAGAUGCGUAGAUAUCGGGAGGAAUACCAGUGGCGAAGGCGGCCUCCUGGACCGUUCCUGACGCUCAGACGCGAAAGCUAGGGGAGCGAACGGGAUUAGAAACCCCGGUAGUCCUAGCUGUAAACGAUGCAAACUUGGUGUUGGUGGGGUAAAAUCCGCCGGUGCCGAAGCUAACGCGAUAAGUUUGCCGCCUGGGGACUACGGCCGCAAGGUUAAAACUCAAAUGAAUUGACGG